Molecule: long non-coding RNA, 201 nt
Filed under: Elaeis guineensis (African oil palm)
Lineage: Eukaryota; Viridiplantae; Streptophyta; Magnoliopsida; Arecales; Arecaceae
Description: long non-coding RNA (EGUI_LNC067150)
Source: RNAcentral
GAAAAGAGUUUUCAUAAAGAUCACAAUUGAAUUUGAGCUGAUCGAAUCUAUCAUAUGACUAAUGAUGAGGUUUGAUGAUUUAUCCAUGACCUACCAUCUAGUCGGGACUCACGAUAAAGGAACUGAAUCAUAUGUGAACUACACCUUAAAAUUUUUUUUGAUUCUACUGGAUUGCCACUACAUACUGUUAGGUAUCACUGG